ACGGAAGGCAGCAGUGGGGAAUAUUGGGCAAUGGGGGAAACCCUGACCCAGCAACGCCGCGUGAAGGAAGAAGGUCUUCGGAUCGUAAACUUCUGUCCUCAGGGAAGAGAAAGAGACGGUACCUGAGGAGGAAGCCCCGGCUAACUACGUGCCAGCAGCCGCGGUAAUACGUAGGGGGCAAGCGUUGUCCGGAAUGAUUGGGCGUAAAGGGCGCGUAGGCGGCUCGGUAAGUCUGAAGUGAAAGUCCCGGCUUCAAGUUGGGAAUUGCUUUGGAUACUGUCGAGCUUGAGUGCAGGAGAGGUAAGUGGAAUUCCCAGUGUAGCGGUGAAAUGCGUAGAGAUUGGGAGGAACACCAGUGGCGAAGGCGACUUACUGGACUGUAACUGACGCUGAGGCGCGAAAGUGUGGGGAGCAAACAGGAUUAGAUACCCUGGUA
RNAcentral lists this ribosomal RNA (436 nucleotides) under uncultured bacterium. RNAcentral's name for it is "partial 16S ribosomal RNA". It matches the Rfam family "Bacterial small subunit ribosomal RNA", at positions 341 to 792 of the family's 1533-position model. The record is from RNAcentral.